CCAGCAACUUCUCUCCUCGCAGGUGAUGCUGGACUUUGCUGUCUCCAAAAACUCAGCUGUGCGUGAGAGAGCUGUGAAGGUGAUUGAGAGGCUGAUUACUUUCAUCCGCUGGUAUUUGGUGAUCAAGAUCUUAGAGAACUUUGAAAACUAUGGCAACGAUGAGCCCACAGAUUUCAACCUGCGCAUCCCCAUCCUGGGCAAGCUGCUGGGCCACCUCUUGCUUUUCAGCAGUGGCGAUGAUUCCAUGAGACACUCAGCUUUGGAAAGUCUUCAUCGCAUGUACACAGUCGUCAGAGAAGGAAGAGAAGCUAGACGCUCACCUGCCGUCCAGGAGCAGUUCUCUGCUGCUGUCCUUCCCAACCCUCCCCAGAUCACCUACCACGCUCUUUUGUGGUGUCCCCCAGUCUAAGCCAUCAAUCGAUGAGCACUUCCCAAACCGCAUCUUCCCCGAGGAGUGAACAGCAGAGCCAGCCGUGCAUCACCAGGGAUGGUGACGCCCUCCAGAA
Molecule: long non-coding RNA, 506 nt
Filed under: Anas platyrhynchos platyrhynchos (common mallard)
Lineage: Eukaryota; Metazoa; Chordata; Aves; Anseriformes; Anatidae
Description: lncRNA (ENSAPLG00000027860.1)
Source: RNAcentral